RNAcentral lists this ribosomal RNA (2127 nucleotides) under human metagenome. Its description in RNAcentral is "bacterial LSU rRNA". It matches the Rfam family "Bacterial large subunit ribosomal RNA", at positions 563 to 2675 of the family's 2925-position model. The record is from RNAcentral.
CUUACAAUCAUUCAGAGCCCUAUGAUUUAUCAGGGUGAUGGACUGCCUUUUGCAUAAUGAGCCUGCGAGUUGUGGUGUCUGGCAAGGUUAAGGAAACCCGGAGCCGUAGCGAAAGCGAGUCUUAAUAGGGCGUUUAGUCAGAUGCUGCAGACCCGAAACGAUGUGAUCUAUCCAUGAGCAGGUUGAAGCCGGUGUAAGAGCCGGUGGAGGACCGAACCCGCUAGCGUUGAAAAGCUAUGGGAUGACUUGUGGAUAGGGGUGAAAGGCCAAUCAAACAUCGUGAUAGCUGGUUCUCUCCGAAAUAUAUUUAGGUAUAGCGUCAUGUAGUAACACUAGGGGGUAGAGCACUGAAUGGGCUAGGGCAUACACCAAUGUACCAAACCCUAUCAAACUCCGAAUACCUAGUGUGUAAUCAUGGCAGUCAGGCGGCGAGUGAUAAAAUCCGUCGUCGAGAGGGGAACAACCCAGACUAACAGCUAAGGUCCCUAAAUCUCAUUUAAGUGGAAAACGAUGUGGAGUUACUUAAACAACCAGGAGGUUGGCUUAGAAGCAGCCAUCCUUUAAAGAAAGCGUAAUAGCUCACUGGUCUAGUGAUUCUGCGCGGAAAAUAUAACGGGGCUAAAAUGAGUACCGAAGCUUUAGACUUAGUUUUACUAAGUGGUAGGAGAGCGUUGUAUUUGCGUUGAAGGUAUACCGGUAAGGAGUGCUGGAGCGAAUACAAGUGAGCAUGCAGGCAUGAGUAGCGAUAAUUGGGGUGAGAAUCCCCAACGCCGUAAACCCAAGGUUUCCUACGCGAUGCUCGUCAUCGUAGGGUUAGCCGGGUCCUAAGCAAAGUCCGAAAGGGGUAUGCGAUGGAAAAUUGGUUAAUAUUCCAAUGCCAACUAUAAUGUGCGAUGGAAGGACGCUUAGAGUUAGAGGAGCCAGCGGAUGGUAGUGCUGGUCGAAAGGUGCAGGUUGGAGUUCAGGCAAAUCCGAACUCCUUUAAGCCGAGGCCUUACAGGUGCGUGAAGUUCUUCGGAAUGAAUCGUAAAUCCUUGAUACUGUCGAGCCAAGAAAAGUUUCUAAGUUUAGUUAUAGUUGCCCGUACCGUAAACCGACACAGGUGGGUGGGAUGAGUAUUCUAAGGCGCGUGGAAGAACUCUCUUCAAGGAACUCUGCAAAAUAGCACCGUAUCUUCGGUAUAAGGUGUGCCUAACUUUGUGAAGGAUUUACUCCGUAAGCAUUGAAGGUUACAACAAAGAGUCCCUCCCGACUGUUUACCAAAAACACAGCACUCUGCUAACUCGUAAGAGGAUGUAUAGGGUGUGACGCCUGCCCGGUGCUCGAAGGUUAAUUGAUGACGUUAGCUCUGCGAAGCGUUUGAUCGAAGCCCGAGUAAACGGCGGCCGUAACUAUAACGGUCCUAAGGUAGCGAAAUUCCUUGUCGAUUAAAUAUCGACCUGCAUGAAUGGCGUAACGAGAUGGGAGCUGUCUCGAAGAGGGAUCCAGUGAAAUUGUAGUGGAGGUGAAAAUUCCUCCUACCCGCGGCAAGACGGAAAGACCCCGUGGACCUUUACUACAGCUUGACACUGCUAUUGGGAUAAAAAUGUGCAGGAUAGGCGGGAGGCUUUGAUCCAUAGACGCCAGUUUAUGGUGAGCCAUUGUUGAGAUACCGCUCUUUUUUAUUCUGAUAGCUAACUAGCUUGAGUUAUCCUCAAGUAGGACAAUGUCUGGUGGGUAGUUUGACUGGGGCGGUCGCCUCCCAAAAUGUAACGGAGGCUUACAAAGGUUGGCUCAGAACGGUUGGAAAUCGUUCGUAGAGUAUAAAGGCAUAAGCCAGCUUAACUGCGAGACAUACACGUCAAGCAGAGACGAAAGUCGGUCUUAGUGAUCCGGUGGUUCUGUGUGGAAGGGCCAUCGCUCAAAGGAUAAAAGGUACCCCGGGGAUAACAGGCUGAUCUCCCCCAAGAGCUCACAUCGACGGGGAGGUUUGGCACCUCGAUGUCGGCUCAUCGCAUCCUGGGGCUGAAGUCGGUCCCAAGGGUUGGGCUGUUCGCCCAUUAAAGCGGUACGCGAGCUGGGUUCAGAACGUCGUGAGACAGUUCGGUCCCUAUCUGCCGUGGGCGCAAGAAGAUUGAGGAGAGUUGA